AAGAGUAUAGCUUAACGGUAAAGCAUAUGUCUUCAACACAUUUGAUGAUAGUUCAACUCUAUCUGCUCUUG
Molecule: transfer RNA, 71 nt
Filed under: Candida frijolesensis
Lineage: Eukaryota; Fungi; Ascomycota; Pichiomycetes; Serinales; Debaryomycetaceae
Description: tRNA-Trp
Rfam family: tRNA
About the family: Transfer RNA (tRNA) molecules are approximately 80 nucleotides in length. Their secondary structure includes four short double-helical elements and three loops (D, anti-codon, and T loops).
Source: RNAcentral